UACGUAGGGGGCCAGCGUUGUCCGGAUUUACUGGGCGUAAAGAGCGCGUAGGCGGUUUGGUCAGCGGAGGGUGAAAGCCCGGGGCUCAACUCCGGAACGGCUCUCCGAACUGCCAGACUAGAGUGCGGGAGAGGGCAGUGGAAUUCCUGGUGUAGCGGUGGAAUGCGUAAAUAUCAGGAGGAACACCGGUGGCGAAGGCUGCUGCCUGGAACGCAACUGACGCUGAGGCGCGAAAGCUAGGGGAGCGAACGGG
Molecule: ribosomal RNA, 253 nt
Filed under: uncultured bacterium
Lineage: Bacteria
Description: partial 16S ribosomal RNA
Rfam family: Bacterial small subunit ribosomal RNA
Source: RNAcentral